CCUACGGGGCGCAGCAGUGGGGAAUAUUGGACAAUGGGCGAAAGCCUGAUCCAGCCAUGCCGCGUGUGUGAAGAAGGCCUUCGGGUUGUAAAGCACUUUCAGUGGGGAAGAAAGCCUUGGGGCUAAUACCCUCGAGGAAGGACAUCACCCACAGAAGAAGCACCGGCUAACUCCGUGCCAGCAGCCACGGUAAUACGGAGGGUGCGAGCGUUAAUCGGAAUUACUGGGCGUAAAGCGCGCGUAGGCGGUCUGAUAAGCCGGUUGUGAAAGCCCCGGGCUCAACCUGGGAACGGCAUCCGGAACUGUCAGGCUAGAGUGCAGGAGAGGAAGGUAGAAUUCCCGGUGUAGCGGUGAAAUGCGUAGAGAUCGGGAGGAAUACCAGUGGCGAAGGCGGCCUUCUGGACUGACACUGACGCUGAGGUGCGAAAGCGUGGGUAGCAAACAGGAUUAGAUACCCCAGUAGUC
RNAcentral lists this ribosomal RNA (465 nucleotides) under Vreelandella stevensii. RNAcentral describes it as "partial 16S ribosomal RNA". It matches the Rfam family "Bacterial small subunit ribosomal RNA", at positions 338 to 795 of the family's 1533-position model. Lineage: Bacteria; Pseudomonadati; Pseudomonadota; Gammaproteobacteria; Oceanospirillales; Halomonadaceae. The record is from RNAcentral.